GCCGAUGUAGCUCAGAUGGCCAGAGCGUGUGAUUUGUAAUCUCAAGGUCGUGGGUUCGAUUCCCUCCAUCGGCU
This 74-nucleotide transfer RNA is filed under the name Bacteroidales bacterium. RNAcentral's name for it is "tRNA-Thr". It matches the Rfam family "tRNA". Rfam says of the family: Transfer RNA (tRNA) molecules are approximately 80 nucleotides in length. Their secondary structure includes four short double-helical elements and three loops (D, anti-codon, and T loops). The record is from RNAcentral. RNAcentral also lists the same sequence under 1 other name. Lineage: Bacteria; Pseudomonadati; Bacteroidota; Bacteroidia; Bacteroidales.